Molecule: ribosomal RNA, 1489 nt
Filed under: Lactiplantibacillus pentosus
Lineage: Bacteria; Bacillati; Bacillota; Bacilli; Lactobacillales; Lactobacillaceae
Description: bacterial SSU rRNA
Rfam family: Bacterial small subunit ribosomal RNA
Source: RNAcentral
GACGAACGCUGGCGGCGUGCCUAAUACAUGCAAGUCGAACGAACUCUGGUAUUGAUUGGUGCUUGCAUCAUGAUUUACAUUUGAGUGAGUGGCGAACUGGUGAGUAACACGUGGGAAACCUGCCCAGAAGCGGGGGAUAACACCUGGAAACAGAUGCUAAUACCGCAUAACAACUUGGACCGCAUGGUCUGAGUUUGAAAGAUGGCUUCGGCUAUCACUUUUGGAUGGUCCCGCGGCGUAUUCGCUAGAUGGUGGGGUAACGGCUCACCAUGGCAAUGAUACGUAGCCGACCUGAGAGGGUAAUCGGCCACAUUGGGACUGAGACACGGCCCAAACUCCUACGGGAGGCAGCAGUAGGGAAUCUUCCACAAUGGACGAAAGUCUGAUGGAGCAACGCCGCGUGAGUGAAGAAGGGUUUCGGCUCGUAAAACUCUGUUGUUAAAGAAGAACAUAUAUGAGAGUAACUGUUCAGGUAUUGACGGUAUUUAACCAGAAAGCCACGGCUAACUACGUGCCAGCAGCCGCGGUAAUACGUAGGUGGCAAGCGUUGUCCGGAUUUAUUGGGCGUAAAGCGAGCGCAGGCGGUUUUUUAAGUCUGAUGUGAAAGCCUUCGGCUCAACCGAAGAAGUGCAUCGGAAACUGGGAAACUUGAGUGCAGAAGAGGACAGUGGAACUCCAUGUGUAGCGGUGAAAUGCGUAGAUAUAUGGAAGAACACCAGUGGCGAAGGCGGCUGUCUGGUCUGUAACUGACGCUGAGGCUCGAAAGUAUGGGUAGCAAACAGGAUUAGAUACCCUGGUAGUCCAUACCGUAAACGAUGAAUGCUAAGUGUUGGAGGGUUUCCGCCCUUCAGUGCUGCAGCUAACGCAUUAAGCAUUCCGCCUGGGGAGUACGGCCGCAAGGCUGAAACUCAAAGGAAUUGACGGGGGCCCGCACAAGCGGUGGAGCAUGUGGUUUAAUUCGAAGCUACGCGAAGAACCUUACCAGGUCUUGACAUACUAUGCAAAUCUAAGAGAUUAGACGUUCCCUUCGGGGACAUGGAUACAGGUGGUGCAUGGUUGUCGUCAGCUCGUGUCGUGAGAUGUUGGGUUAAGUCCCGCAACGAGCGCAACCCUUAUUAUCAGUUGCCAGCAUUAAGUUGGGCACUCUGGUGAGACUGCCGGUGACAAACCGGAGGAAGGUGGGGAUGACGUCAAAUCAUCAUGCCCCUUAUGACCUGGGCUACACACGUGCUACAAUGGAUGGUACAACGAGUUGCGAACUCGCGAGAGUAAGCUAAUCUCUUAAAGCCAUUCUCAGUUCGGAUUGUAGGCUGCAACUCGCCUACAUGAAGUCGGAAUCGCUAGUAAUCGCGGAUCAGCAUGCCGCGGUGAAUACGUUCCCGGGCCUUGUACACACCGCCCGUCACACCAUGAGAGUUUGUAACACCCAAAGUCGGUGGGGUAACCUUUUAGGAACCAGCCGCCUAAGGUGGGACAGAUGAUUAGGGUG